AAAUUGAAGAGUUUGAUCAUGGCUCAGAUUGAACGCUGGCGGCAGGCCUAACACAUGCAAGUCGAACGGUAACAGGAAACAGCUUGCUGUUUCGCUGACGAGUGGCGGACGGGUGAGUAAUGUCUGGGAAACUGCCUGAUGGAGGGGGAUAACUACUGGAAACGGUAGCUAAUACCGCAUAACGUCGCAAGACCAAAGAGGGGGACCUUCGGGCCUCUUGCCAUCGGAUGUGCCCAGAUGGGAUUAGCUUGUUGGUGGGGUAACGGCUCACCAAGGCGACGAUCCCUAGCUGGUCUGAGAGGAUGACCAGCCACACUGGAACUGAGACACGGUCCAGACUCCUACGGGAGGCAGCAGUGGGGAAUAUUGCACAAUGGGCGCAAGCCUGAUGCAGCCAUGCCGCGUGUAUGAAGAAGGCCUUCGGGUUGUAAAGUACUUUCAGCGAGGAGGAAGGCAUUAAGGUUAAUAACCUUGGUGAUUGACGUUACUCGCAGAAGAAGCACCGGCUAACUCCGUGCCAGCAGCCGCGGUAAUACGGAGGGUGCAAGCGUUAAUCGGAAUUACUGGGCGUAAAGCGCACGCAGGCGGUUUGUUAAGUCAGAUGUGAAAUCCCCGGGCUCAACCUGGGAACUGCAUUUGAAACUGGCAAGCUUGAGUCUUGUAGAGGGGGGUAGAAUUCCAGGUGUAGCGGUGAAAUGCGUAGAGAUCUGGAGGAAUACCGGUGGCGAAGGCGGCCCCCUGGACAAAGACUGACGCUCAGGUGCGAAAGCGUGGGGAGCAAACAGGAUUAGAUACCCUGGUAGUCCACGCCGUAAACGAUGUCGACUUGGAGGUUGUGCCCUUGAGGCGUGGCUUCCGGAGCUAACGCGUUAAGUCGACCGCCUGGGGAGUACGGCCGCAAGGUUAAAACUCAAAUGAAUUGACGGGGGCCCGCACAAGCGGUGGAGCAUGUGGUUUAAUUCGAUGCAACGCGAAGAACCUUACCUGGUCUUGACAUCCACGGAAGUUUUCAGAGAUGAGAAUGUGCCUUCGGGAACCGUGAGACAGGUGCUGCAUGGCUGUCGUCAGCUCGUGUUGUGAAAUGUUGGGUUAAGUCCCGCAACGAGCGCAACCCUUAUCCUUUGUUGCCAGCGGUCCGGCCGGGAACUCAAAGGAGACUGCCAGUGAUAAACUGGAGGAAGGUGGGGAUGACGUCAAGUCAUCAUGGCCCUUACGACCAGGGCUACACACGUGCUACAAUGGCGCAUACAAAGAGAAGCGACCUCGCGAGAGCAAGCGGACCUCAUAAAGUGCGUCGUAGUCCGGAUUGGAGUCUGCAACUCGACUCCAUGAAGUCGGAAUCGCUAGUAAUCGUGGAUCAGAAUGCCACGGUGAAUACGUUCCCGGGCCUUGUACACACCGCCCGUCACACCAUGGGAGUGGGUUGCAAAAGAAGUAGGUAGCUUAACCUUCGGGAGGGCGCUUACCACUUUGUGAUUCAUGACUGGGGUGAAGUCGUAACAAGGUAACCGUAGGGGAACCUGCGGUUGGAUCACCUCCUUA
RNAcentral lists this ribosomal RNA (1542 nucleotides) under Escherichia coli. Its description in RNAcentral is "bacterial SSU rRNA". It matches the Rfam family "Bacterial small subunit ribosomal RNA". The record is from RNAcentral. Lineage: Bacteria; Pseudomonadati; Pseudomonadota; Gammaproteobacteria; Enterobacterales; Enterobacteriaceae.